CAAAGUUUAUAAUUUCUAUGUCCAACCAAUGCCACUUCCAAAAUACACAAAUCGUAGAUUCUAUCACUGGAUUCUUAAACCAUUGUUCUCAAAGUAGGAAUCUUAGGGACAUUAAGAAGCUCCACGCUCAUCUACUUAGAACAGGCUUGCUCUUUAUUUCCCUUAAUUUUCAUACUGAACUCAUCCAUUCAUACACCACAUGCCUUCACAGAAACAACCCUCAAACCCUGACCAACUUCUUCAAAUGCAUGAAUCCCAAGAACCCAAUCCCCUUUAAUGUUAUAUUAUCCGGCUUUAGCCGAAAUGGGUUGGCAUUUAAUGCACUAAAAACCUUUUCUUUCAUGCACAUCUAUGGUGUGCCUAUAGAUACAUAUACUUUGUGUAGCUCUUUAACUGCUUCCUCUUCUAUCAGAAAUGUUAAAUUUGGUCAGCAGGUACAUGCCCUUGUGGCUAAAUCCGGUUGGUCAUCCAGUGUUUUUGUGGGAAGUGCUCUGGUUGAUUUGUAUUCAAAGUCGUUGGUUAUUGAUGAUGCAGAAGGGGUGUUUGAUGAAAUUCCUGAGAAAAACAGUGUGUGCGCUAAUGCACUGUUGUCAGGUUAUGGGGAGGCCAAGAUGUGGCUUGAGGGACUUAAACUGGUUCGUAAGAUGCCCAUGUUGAAUUUGGAGUAUGAUCACUUCACAUUGUCAGCAAUAUUGCGGGCAUGCGCUGGACUAUCUGCAAUUGAAUUCGGGAUGCAGGUGCACGCCUAUUUGAUUCGUAGAAUAUAUGAUGUGGGAAAGGAUGUGUUUCUUCAGAGUUCAUUGAUUGAAAUGUACGGAAAGUGUGGCCUAGUAGGGAAGGCUUGGCAAGUCUUUAAUUUGGCAGGAAUUGGGAAAGGAAAAGAGCAUCAAAGGGAUGUUGUUUUAUGGACUUCAAUGCUUGGUGUAUAUGGUAGAACUGGACACAAUGAAGAAGUUGUUAGAUUAUACCAAGAGAUGUUAAAGGAAGGGAUUAAACCAGAUGAGGUGGCAUUUGUGACAGUCCUAUCUGCUUGUGAUCACACUGGCCAAGUGAACCUUGGAGUUGAGUUAUUCAAAUCCAUGACUCAUGACUUCGGGUUGGACCCUGGCCCUGAGCAUUACAGUUGUCUGAUUGACUUGCUUUGUAGGGCUGGUCAGUUGGAUAGGGCAUUGAGGCUGGUGAAUGAGAUGGUCCAUAAAGGACAUGGAAGUUGCAGCGUUUCCAUGUGGGGGGCUUUGCUUAGCGCCUGCAAGGAUUGCGGAAAUAUAGAGUUGGGCAAGUUGGCUGCUCAAAGGGCAAUUGACUUGGAUCCUCAGAAUGUGGGGGUUUAUAUUAUGUUAUCAAAUUUAUAUGCCAAGUUGGGUAUGUGGAAUGAGAUUGAGCAGUUGAGGGAACUGAUGAAAGAGAGAGGGUUAAAGAAAGAUGUUGGAUGUAGUUGGAUUUAGGUCACAUGAUUCUGAAAGAGAAACAUAUGGAGCAUUUGAGGUUUCCUUGUUAAGAGAUACCAUGAUACUGCCUUUAAACUCAAAUUGUGAUGUUGCAAGUAGUCAA
Molecule: RNA transcript, 1551 nt
Organism: Quercus lobata
Lineage: Eukaryota; Viridiplantae; Streptophyta; Magnoliopsida; Fagales; Fagaceae
Gene name: putative pentatricopeptide repeat-containing protein At3g23330
Exons: 1
Source: RefSeq, a predicted model, not a curated record